AAGGUGGUAAUCCUUGGGCAGAAGGUAAAAUAUGUUCGAAAAGCUCACGUAUUUCCUUGUGUAUGUAAUCCUUGGUGGUUAGAAGUAAUUAUGGUUUUAUUUUUGCAGGAACCUUAUGCAGUUAAGAAUAGAGCUAUGGAAUUGGCCUAUUAGCCUAUUCGGUUCCCAAAGGGAGGAAACUUCCCUCGGAAUUAGAGAACAUCUUAAUUGAAGUUUCCAAUCGGAAUUAGAGAACAUCUUAAUUGAAGUUUCCAAUGAUAUAGGCUGUCCAUUUCCAUCCCAUGAUAAUCUUAAAAAGUGGGCCCUGCAAGUGAAUUUUCUAUUUUGAAGACUUUACCUUGCCACUUUUUUUUCAGGGGUACUUUUGUUAAGCUUUGCUCUUAC
This 384-nucleotide long non-coding RNA is filed under the name Lathyrus oleraceus (garden pea). Its description in RNAcentral is "Pisum sativum (pea) long non-coding RNA (PSAT_LNC002984)". Lineage: Eukaryota; Viridiplantae; Streptophyta; Magnoliopsida; Fabales; Fabaceae. The record is from RNAcentral.